Molecule: long non-coding RNA, 1402 nt
Filed under: Patiria miniata (bat star)
Lineage: Eukaryota; Metazoa; Echinodermata; Asteroidea; Valvatida; Asterinidae
Description: uncharacterized LOC119739476
Source: RNAcentral
CUUCAUUUUUUUUAGAACGAAGCAUCCAUAUCCAUGUUAAUUUCCUCGCAGAGGAAGGGAGGGCGCGCUUGUGACGGGGCACUGGAGCCGUGGAAGCGCAGAGUCUUGGAGUCACAGAGUCGCGCGCCAGUAGAGGGUGCAAUUCUCGGAGCUUGGCAGGGGAAGUUCUGACAGAUAUCCACAGCAUGAUACCUCACCAGUCAAGAUAAUAUCAAGCAAGUACAGACCAGUCAGGAGGAUAUCAAAACCAACACAAGAGGUACAGCAACCACCCAGAACAUCAGUACCAUCUUGUACUUUUGCAAGCAAGCCUCAUCAUCAAACCUGUCCAGAAAGAACAGAGCAACCAAAGCAAGGACACACAGAUAACGAUUCAGAGCGACUUGAUGACCUAAUGAAUUCAAUCCAACGCUUGAAGGAGGAGAAACUAGCUCAGAUAGAAUGUUCAUCACCCUUAACAAAGCUAUGCAAUGAGUGAUUGAGUUCUGGAGAAUUAUGACUUGUUUCAAGUUAAUGUUCAAUUUCAGUACCUGCUAAUUAAGAAAAAAACUACUUAGCAAGGAUAAGUGAUGCGAAAAGAAUUCCAAGUUCGAAUUUAACAACUGACACACUACAUAUGACAGCUCAUGAUGAAUUAGUGGUUCUGUAGGAGCAGUUUUUAUGUCCAAUUUGACCCUUUGCUAGGAUGAUUAUUCACUGAAAGUUGAUUGUUUUACCUGUGAGAGUCAGUCCUUAAUCUUGAUUUGUGCACCUACCGUUUGAAUCUUUAACAUGUAGCUUGAAGGAUGAAUAAUCACAUGUGAGGUAAAUUAUGUCAUUAAAUAUACAUAAUUUAUAAGCGACUUAUACAGAAACCUGAUCCUUCAUUACCUUUGGCAAACUUGGAUAAGAAUAAUACUGGAAAAAUAAGCCUGACAUGGCAAGAGGCGUAUUAAAUUUUAAGCCUUCCACUUGUACAAUUUAUGCAAUACUCACAUCAUCUAUCAUAUUAAUCACGGUUGUCAUUGUAUGGCAUUUUGAAUUUACGGGCCUGUUUGUAGAACAUAAUGAAAAUAGAUGGAAUGAAUUCGGAAUAAUGUACUCUAAAUGCAACACGCAAGCACAACAAACGUGAACAACGACAUUUUCUAAAAGUAUGAUGCACAUGUUUGCGUUUGCGCACAGCAAAAUAAAACGCUCAUUUAAUACUGAUUGUGUCUUUCGGUAUUUGGCAUUAAUUAGCUCAGCAUAGAAUACAAGUGCAGAUAUACAAGUAGCUGUAUUCCAGUUUUCCAUAGGUUUGUGCACAAACAUGUACAUGUAUGCGUACAGUAGGCUUCACUUUAUAUAGCAAGUUAGGGCUCUAGUAUUUAAUAGCCCUAUUAAAGGGGUUGUGAAAUCUUUUGAAAACACUUUAUCCCUA